GAUGAACGCUGGCGGCGUGCCUAAUACAUGCAAGUCGAGCGAAGCGGGGACGGGUGAGUAACACGUGGAUAACCUCCUAUAAGACUGGGAUAACUUCGGGAAACCGGAGCUAAACCGGAUACUUACAGAUGGAUCCUCGCUGCAUUCGCUAGUUGGUAGGGUAACGGCUUACCAAGGCAACGCUGCAUAGCCGUCCUGAGAGGGUGAUCGGCCACACUGGAACGGAGACAUGGUCCAGACUCCGACGGGAGGCAGCAGUGGGGAAUCUUCCGCAAUGGGCGAAAGCCUGACGCAGCAACGCCGCGUGGGUGAAGAAGGUCGUCGGAUCGUAAAACUCUGUUAUUGGGGAAGCGGUACCUAAUCAGAAAGCAACGGCUAACUACGUGCCAGCAGCCGCGGUAAUAC
This 405-nucleotide ribosomal RNA is filed under the name uncultured bacterium. RNAcentral describes it as "partial 16S ribosomal RNA". It matches the Rfam family "Bacterial small subunit ribosomal RNA", at positions 28 to 526 of the family's 1533-position model. The record is from RNAcentral.